RNAcentral lists this transfer RNA (75 nucleotides) under Actinobacillus equuli. Its description in RNAcentral is "tRNA-Glu(ttc)". It matches the Rfam family "tRNA". From Rfam's summary of the family: Transfer RNA (tRNA) molecules are approximately 80 nucleotides in length. Their secondary structure includes four short double-helical elements and three loops (D, anti-codon, and T loops). RNAcentral also lists the same sequence under 1 other name. The record is from RNAcentral. Lineage: Bacteria; Pseudomonadati; Pseudomonadota; Gammaproteobacteria; Pasteurellales; Pasteurellaceae.
UGUCCCCAUCGUCUAGAGGCCUAGGACAUCGCCCUUUCACGGCGGUAACCGGGGUUCGAAUCCCCGUGGGACGCC